UUUAAAGUCUGACCUGCCCUAUGAAAUAUUUAAAUAGGCCGCGAUAUUUUGAUCGUGCAAAGGUAGCAUAAUAAUUAGUUUUUUAAUUGAGAACUGGUAUGAAAGGUCGAACGAGAAAAAAACUGUCUCAAUUUAAAUUUAAUUAGAAUUUUAUUUUUAAGUAAAAAAGCUUAAAUAUAUUUAAAAGACGAGAAGACCCUAUAGAGUUUUAUAUUUAUUGGUUUAUUUUUUAGUUUAAGAAUUUAAUUUUAAAAUUAAUUAAUAUAUAUUUAAUUGGGGUGAUUGAAAAAUUUAAUAAACUUUUUUUAAAAUUUAUUACAUUGAUUUAUGAUUAAUUGAUCCAUAAUUAAUGAUUAAAAGAUUAAAUUACCUUAGGGAUAACAGCGUAAUUUUUUUUGAGAGUUCUUAUCGAAAAAAAAGUUUGCGACCUCGAUGUUGGAUUAAAAUUAACUUUUGGUGUAGAAGCUAAAUUAUUGUUAGGUCUGUUCGACCUUUAAAAUUUU
The sequence is a ribosomal RNA, 503 nucleotides long. The stretch from base 377 to 503 matches the Rfam family "Bacterial large subunit ribosomal RNA", at positions 2473 to 2597 of the family's 2925-position model.